RNAcentral lists this ribosomal RNA (278 nucleotides) under uncultured Turicibacter sp. Its description in RNAcentral is "partial 16S ribosomal RNA". It matches the Rfam family "Bacterial small subunit ribosomal RNA", at positions 511 to 788 of the family's 1533-position model. Lineage: Bacteria; Bacillati; Bacillota; Erysipelotrichia; Erysipelotrichales; Turicibacteraceae. The record is from RNAcentral.
GCAGCCGCGGUAAUACGUAGGUGGCGAGCGUUAUCCGGAAUUAUUGGGCGUAAAGAGCGCGCAGGUGGUUGAUUAAGUCUGAUGUGAAAGCCCACGGCUUAACCGUGGAGGGUCAUUGGAAACUGGUCGACUUGAGUGCAGAAGAGGGAAGUGGAAUUCCAUGUGUAGCGGUGAAAUGCGUAGAGAUAUGGAGGAACACCAGUGGCGAAGGCGGCUUCCUGGUCUGUAACUGACACUGAGGCGCGAAAGCGUGGGGAGCAAACAGGAUUAGAAACCCC